RNAcentral lists this ribosomal RNA (348 nucleotides) under uncultured bacterium. Its description in RNAcentral is "bacterial SSU rRNA". It matches the Rfam family "Bacterial small subunit ribosomal RNA", at positions 917 to 1269 of the family's 1533-position model. The record is from RNAcentral.
GGGCCCGCACAAGCGGUGGAGCAUGUGGUUUAAUUCGAUGCAACGCGAAGAACCUUACCAAGGCUUGACAUACUACAAAUUUCUUUGAAAGAGGAAAGUGCCUUCGGGAAUGUAGAUACAGGUGGUGCAUGGCUGUCGUCAGCUCGUGUCGUGAGAUGUUGGGUUAAGUCCCGCAACGAGCGCAACCCUUAUUUUUAGUUGCUAAUUUAUUAGGUUUUCUAGAAAGACUGCCGGUGCAAACCGCGAGGAAGGUGGGGAUGACGUCAAAUCAUCACGGCCCUUACGUCCUGGGCUACACACGUGCUACAAUGGCCGGUACAGAGGGCAGCCACACCGCAAGGUGGAGCG